GACGAACGCUGGCGGCGUGCCUAAUACAUGCAAGUAGAACGCUGAAGGAGGAGCUUGCUUCUCUGGAUGAGUUGCGAACGGGUGAGUAACGCGUAGGUAACCUGCCUGGUAGCGGGGGAUAACUAUUGGAAACGAUAGCUAAUACCGCAUAAUAUUGACUAUUGCAUGAUAGUCAGUUGAAAGGUGCAACUGCACCACUACCAGAUGGACCUGCGUUGUAUUAGCUAGUUGGUGGGGUAACGGCUCACCAAGGCGACGAUACAUAGCCGACCUGAGAGGGUGAUCGGCCACACUGGGACUGAGACACGGCCCAGACUCCUACGGGAGGCAGCAGUAGGGAAUCUUCGGCAAUGGACGGAAGUCUGACCGAGCAACGCCGCGUGAGUGAAGAAGGGUUUCGGAUCGUAAAGCUCUGUUGUAAGAGAAGAACGAGUGUGAGAGUGGAAAGCUCACACUGUGACGGUAUCUUACCAGAAAGGGACGGCUAACUACGUG
This 495-nucleotide ribosomal RNA is filed under the name uncultured bacterium. Its description in RNAcentral is "partial 16S ribosomal RNA". It matches the Rfam family "Bacterial small subunit ribosomal RNA", at positions 28 to 507 of the family's 1533-position model. The record is from RNAcentral.